AGAGCGCACGGCGGAUGCCUUGGCGCUGGGAGGCUAUGAAGGACGUAGCGAGCUACGAUAAGCCACGGGUAGUCGCAAGCAGACAUUGAUCCGUGGAUUUCCGAAUGGGGAAACCUACUGCGGGUUAUACCGCAGUAUCUGUCACUGAAUCCAUAGGUGGCAGAAGCCAACCGGGGGAACUGAAACAUCUUAGUACCCCGAGGAAGAGAAAGAAACCUCGAUUCCCUAAGUAGCGGCGAGCGAACGGGGAAGAGCCUAAACCAUGCUGUUGUAAGGUUACAGCCGUUUUCAGCAUGGGGUUGUGGGAGUCAUAUUUAGAGCGCUGUAACGCUCUAGCGCAGUUACAAACUGCCGGUCUAGCAGAAGCGGCCUGGAAAGGCCCGCCAUAGAAGGUGAAAGCCCUGUAUGCGAAAGGUCGUCAGCUGCGUUUAUGGCCACCCGAGUACUGCGGGGCACGUGAAAUCCCGUAGGAAUCUAGGAGGCCCACCUCCAAAGGCUAAAUACUACCCAGCGACCGAUAGUGAACAAGUACCGUGAGGGAAAGGUGAAAAGCACCCCUGGCGGGGAGUGAAAUAGUACCUGAAACCGUGUGCUUACAAACAGUCAGAGCACUAUUAAUGUGUGAUGGCGUACUUUUUGUAGAACGGACCGGCGAGUUACUCAGUCAAGCGAGGUUAAACACCACAGGUGUGCAGCCGCAGCGAAAGCGAGUCUUAACAGGGCGAUAUUAGUUUGCCUGAGUAGACCCGAAACCGGGUGAUCUACCCAUGGCCAGGGUGAAGCGUAGGUAAGACUACGUGAAGGCCCGAACCCACCAAUGUUAAAAAAUUGGGGGAUGAGUUGUGGGUAGGGGUGAAAUGCCAAUCGAACCCGGAGAUAGCUGGUUCUCCCCGAAAUAGCUUUAGGGCUAGCCUCGGAGCGUAAAUAACGGAGGUAGAGCACUGUUUGAGCUAAGGGCCUUCACAGGUUACUGAACUCAGACAAACUCCGAAUGCCGUAUAUUUGGACUCCGGGAGUCAGACUGCGGGUGCUAAGGUCCGUAGUCGAAAGGGAAACAGCCCAGACCGCCAGCUAAGGUCCCCAAGUGCAGGCUAAGUGGAUAAGGAUGUGGGACUGCCCAGACAACCAGGAUGUUGGCUCAGAAGCAGCCACCAUUUAAAGAGUGCGUAAUAGCUCACUGGUCAAGUGGUCCUGCGCCGAAAAUGUCCGGGGCUCAAGCCUGUCACCGAAGCUGCGGGUUGUGUAGUCAUCAACAAUGUGCUUAACGAGUGUAGCACGCAAGUUGGUGCAAGCAAGACAUUUAAUGUCGAAAACACCCGCAAGAAUUAAAUUUCAAGUUUUCGACUAAAUGUACUAUCGCUAAAGCGUCAACGAGGUAAGCCCAUUGUUGAUGACUACGCAGCGGUAGGGGAGCGUUCCAUUCGCAUUGAAGGUAUACCGUAAGGAGUGCUGGAGCGUAUGGAAGUGAGAAUGCCGGUAUAAGUAACGAAAAGAAGGGUGAGAAUCCCUUCCGCCGAAAACCCAAGGUUUCCUGAGGAAGGCUCGUCCUCUCAGGGUAAGUCGGGACCUAAGCCGAGGGCGAAAGCCGUAGGCGAUGGACAACUGGUUGAGAUUCCAGUACCACCUCUCUUCGUUUGAGCAAUGGGGUGACGCAGUAAGGUAAGCGCAGCGCACCGUUGGUUGUGUGCGUCCAAGUCUUUAGGGAGUAGCCAUAGGCAAAUCCGUGGCUAUGUUAAUCCUGAGGGGCGAUGGGGAGCGAAAUUAAGUAGCGAACUGGCUGAUCCUACACUGCCAAGAAAAACCUCUAGCGAGAAGUAUAGGUGCCCGUACCGAAAACCGACACAGGUGGGUGAGGAGAGAAUCCUAAGGCGCGCGAGAGAACCCUCGUUAAGGAACUCGGCAAAAUAACCCCGUAACUUCGGGAGAAGGGGUGCUCUGAUAGCGUGAGUAUAUAAACAUGUACGAGCGUGAGAGAGCCGCAGUGACCAGGCCCAGGCGACUGUUUAGCAAAAACACAGGUCUCUGCCAAAUCGAAAGAUGAAGUAUAGAGGCUGACGCCUGCCCGGUGCUGGAAGGUUAAGGGGAGAGCUUAGCGGCAACGCGAAGGCUUGAGCCGAAGCCCCAGUGAACGGCGGCCGUAACUAUAACGGUCCUAAGGUAGCGAAAUUCCUUGUCAGGUAAGUUCUGACCCGCACGAAUGGCGUAACGAUUUGGGCACUGUCUCGACAACGCACCCGGUGAAAUUGUAGUACUCGUGAAGAUGCGGGUUACCCGCGACUAGACGGAAAGACCCCAUGGAGCUUUACUGUAGCCUGAUACUGUAUUUCGAUAUUACAUGUACAGGAUAGGAGGGAGGCUGAGAAUCCGGGACGCCAGUUCUGGAGGAGCCAACGUUGGGAUACCUCUCUUGAGAUAUUGGAAUACUAACCAGAGACCAUAAACUGGUCUUGGGACAAUGUCAGGUGGGCAGUUUGACUGGGGCGGUCGCCUCCAAAAGAGUAACGGAGGCGCCCAAAGGUUUCCUCAGCGCGGAUGGAAAUCGCGCGAAGAGUGUAAAGGCAUAAGGGAGCUUGACUGCGAGAGAGACAUCUCGAGCAGGGACGAAAGUCGGGCUUAGUGAUCCGGCGGUACCGAGUGGAAGGGCCGUCGCUCAACGGAUAAAAGCUACCCCGGGGAUAACAGGCUUAUCUCCCCCAAGAGUCCACAUCGACGGGGAGGUUUGGCACCUCGAUGUCGGCUCAUCGCAUCCUGGGGCUGCAGUAAGUCCCAAGGGUUGGACUGUUCGUCCAUUAAAGCGGUACGCGAGCUGGGUUCAGAACGUCGCGAGACAGUUCGGUCCCUAUCUGUCGUGGGCGUAGGAGAUUUGAGGAGUGCUGCUCCUAGUACGAGAGGACCGGAGUGGACAGACCGCUGGUGUACCAGUUGUCCUGCCAAGGGCAGUUCUGGGUAGCCACGUCUGGCAUGGAUAAGCGCUGAAAGCAUCUAAGCGCGAAGCCAUCUCCAAGAUAAGAUCUCCCAUCCCGUUAGGGAGUAAGACCCCAGGUAGACGACCUGGUUGAUAGGCCGGAAGUGUAAGGACAGCAAUGUCUUAAGCGGACCGGUACUAAUAGGUCGAGGGCUUGACCU
This 3126-nucleotide ribosomal RNA is filed under the name fermentation metagenome. Its description in RNAcentral is "bacterial LSU rRNA". It matches the Rfam family "Bacterial large subunit ribosomal RNA". The record is from RNAcentral.